This 253-nucleotide ribosomal RNA is filed under the name uncultured bacterium. RNAcentral's name for it is "partial 16S ribosomal RNA". It matches the Rfam family "Bacterial small subunit ribosomal RNA", at positions 524 to 776 of the family's 1533-position model. The record is from RNAcentral.
UACGGGGGGGGCAAGCGUUGUUCGGAAUUACUGGGCGUAAAGGGCUUGUAGGUGGCCAACUAAGUCAGACGUGAAAUCCCCAGGCUUAACCUGGGAACUGCAUCCGAUACUGGAUGGCUUGAAUCCGGGAGAGGGAUGCAGAAUUCCAGGUGUAGCGGUGAAAUGCGUAGAUAUCUGGAGGAACACCGGUGGCGAAGGCGGCAUCCUGGACCAAUUCUGACACUGAGGAGCGAAAGCCAGGGGAGCAAACGGG